GCAAAUUUUUUCGGCCGUUCGUUGCCUCAUCAACGUCCAGGCGUUCAGCGAAGCAUCCUAUUCUUUUCUGUUCUUUCUGCGACGCCCACGAAGGUUCCAGACUGUAGAAGCCCCCAACCCCGCUUGGAGCUCCAUUUGCCCCACCACGGUGCCAGCAACUCCACCCCCUGCCCCCCCGCCGGCAGAUCCCCCACCCCGCCAGGAGCUCUGCCCAGGCCUACCACGGUGCCAGCAACUCCACCACCCCCUCCCUCGCCAUUGGCGGUUCCCCCACCCCGCUAGGAGCACCGCCCAGGCGGAUGACUUCACCUUCGAAGCCCCUGCCACGCAGCCAGUGUCAAGAUUACCCCCACCUACACCCCUCGCCAGAGGACCGUCCCCUUGAUGUCGGACGGCCAACGGAUUCACCUCCCACGCCCUCCACGAGCCUGAUAAAUCGUCGGCGCAAAUUUUUUCGGCCGUUCGUUGCCUCAUCAACGUCCAGGCGUUCAGCGAAGCAUCCUAUUCUUUUCUGUUCUUUCUGCGACGCCCACGAAGGUUCCAGACUGUAGAAGCCCCCAACCCCGCUUGGAGCUCCAUUUGCCCCACCACGGUGCCAGCAACUCCACCCCCUGCCCCCCCGCCGGCAGAUCCCCCACCCCGCCAGGAGCUCUGCCCAGGCCUACCACGGUGCCAGCAACUCCACCACCCCCUCCCUCGCCAUUGGCGGUUCCCCCACCCCGCUAGGAGCACCGCCCAGGCGGAUGACUUCACCUUCGAAGCCCCUGCCACGCAGCCAGUGUCAAGAUUACCCCCACCUACACCCCUCGCCAGAGGACCGUCCCCUUGAUGUCGGACGGCCAACGGAUUCACCUCCCACGCCCUCCACGAGCCUGAUAAAUCAAGAAUUUACUAGAAUUUCUACACGCCCAUGAAUGAUUUUAUUGUUGCUACUGAAUGAUGUAAUAGAUUGAGUAUACUGUUGUGUUUGCAGGGAUGCUAAAGGUCGCGGCAAGUGGCUCUACUGCCACUCCACUCUGAGGCGGUGCCAGCGUUGAUGACCACCUCUCGGCCUACUACUUCUUCUCCAGCAUGGGUCUAGUCCAAGUCGCGAUACGGGGUUUGGACAUUUUGGGCUAGGUUGUUCAGCAUGGGUCUAGUGAAUGAAGGCAUCGACAUGGAGGAGGGAAACCUGGAGAUAGGCAUAGCAAUUCUUUUGCAUGAUUAUUAGUUUUAUUUUAUUAAUCUAUGCUAGAUCUCAAAUACACGCAAUCCAAUCUUGAAGAUCUGGUUAAAAAAGUAUGCUGCUUGUACCAUAAACUGUGUGCGACGCAAAUUUCAGUAAGUGCAAUUUGUUGAUGUAUUGUGAUGGUAGACCGACCUUCCUUCUGCAGAGUGGAACCAAAGGUAUUUGUUGAGUUCUUUGGCAUUGCCAUAUAGUAGAUUUGACCGGGAAGCUUGCAGGUCUACUAUAUGUCCUGGUUUUCGUAUCUGCAUGUCUUCAUGUUCAAAAUGGUGAUUCGGUUUAUAUGAGAGUAUUGUCUUAGUGCUAGUGUGGAUAACAUCAAGAUGGUGUACCAUGUACGGUGAUGACUUUGCUGAACUUAGUACUUUCAAAUGUGUGACAAGGAAGGAAAGUAGCAAGCUGAAAAGGAAGAACCAAGAUAAAAUGUUUGAUGCAUAUAUCCUGCAUGGGUCUGCAAUACAAUCUACAACACACUAGAUUAUAUGUGAAGGUCAGAUUUUUAUCAUCUCAGAUUUGUUGGUUUCAAUAUUUUCUAGAGUCCCUAUGGGUUUCCAACUUCACUAACGAUGGAAUUGAUUAAAAUCCUUUCUGAGAAAUGAAUAGCCAAUAAAGUUCUCAUGGGAAGAGGGUAAGCAAUGGCCAAUGUUCAGGGAUUGGAUACAUAGUUGCAUUUACAUGUCAAUGUCAUCUUCACAUAGUAGAUAGAAUUGUACACAUUUUUUCAGUAAUAUUGGCACUGUAGACAUGGUCUGUAUUUAACGUUUUUGCUGACUUCUUAGUGAUUUGCUGAAAUAAUGACGCAUAACUAUGCUUAUAUCGAGAAGGGGAGAAAGGAUCAACCGUCAUCGUCUCCGUCGGCAACAUCGGCCCUGUUGACAGCCCGCGCUCUGUGUGCCCUCCUCCCCACGUGUUUGAUGGCCUCUGUUUUCUCUUCUCCCUCGCACUGCAGAGCUUAGUGGCGUGGUCCAACAACUUACUACAUAAUGGCGAUCAGCACCGGCAAAGCUUAAGUGUGAAGUGAGACAUAACAUGCAACAUCUGAUUAGAAUUUUCAUAUUUAGAUAUACUCACGAAUCACUAAGACAGAUUAUAUGCUUGUGGUCCCUUUUUCAGAAACAUAAAUGUUCCCUGUAAGGUAAGCUUAGUUGUUUAAUUUCUUAAAUUCAGGUAUCCUUUCUAUGUAUGAAUAAUAAACUAACAAUUACUCCAUAAUAACUGCAGGAAUGUCCACAGCAUAGCACAAUAUAAAUUGUUGAAGGAAAAAUACUAGGCAAAACAUCCCCCACAUAGUUAAUACCUCAUAAAUCUUCUGAUUUUAGGUUGCCAUCCCUUGCAUUUUAAAACAACUGCUUCACCUCAUCAGAAAUAAUAUAUGAUGAUCAAUGAUGACCCAAUUUGAUAUUAGCAACACAACUCACCCUAAUUACCGGAACAAACAAGCCAUGAUCUGUUUUAGUAAAAGUAUAUGCGUUGCAACUUAUAUUUAUAUUUGGAUGAUAAACAACUUAGAAAUAGUAUCAAGAUUAUAUAUAUCAUCAUAUCUUGUAUUUGUUCCUGUAAAAAAGAAGCAUCAAUAUUAUGUUAUAUCAAUACCUUUAUAUAUAUAUAAUAUCUCUUCUUUUUAUAUAGGCAUCUUUAGUAGAAUUGUAUAAAAAACGCGCGCAGGGCGCGCGUUAAGACACUAGUGCAUAUACUAUGCAAUAAGCCGAGAACUGUAUCUCAGUUGUGCGAUGGCAAAAAGGGGCAUGCGCGGGUGCUGAUUGAGGACGGAGAAGAGGGAGGAGCGUAGGCAGGAUGGAGUUUCGACUCUAGCAGACUAGCACAUGCAUCUUGAAAUCCAUUGUUUUCGUUUUCUUCUCACAUACAUGACACCGACAGAAUUGGCCACUGAACCAACAAUAUUUAAUGGACCAACAAUCUAAUCUAGCAGACUAGCUUAUGGUCCUCCCAUACUUUCAUAUCUAUACUACUCCCUCCGUUCUCAAAUAUUUGUCACCGGUUAAUUCAUUUUUGAACUAAAACACGAUAAAUAAAAAAGAACGGAGAGAGUACUCUAUUAAGAAUCUAGUGUGGGCACAUAGUGUUAUCACGACUUCAUUCCGGCGCUGUGCCCUGUGGGCCCCACACCCAGCACCCGUGCAUCGCUUUCUCAAUUACUGUUGUAUGAAACCCCCAACGCCGGUAGCUCGCUACUGUGUCUGCUCAGCACCCGACACCGCCUGCGCAGCUACCACACCACACUUGAACCCACGCCCUCUGCUUCAGCAAUUUAGGAAUAACCACUAGACCACAAGUAUCUUAGUGUUUAGAAAUAAACAAUAAUUAUAUUUGAAUAAAUAUCUCAAUACCUAUUUAUAUGAUAUAUACCAACUGUAGCAAAGCACGGAAAACUGGCUAGUAUAUAUCUAGGAUUCUAGGUCCUACCAAUGGUUAUUUAAGUUUUCAUUUAGUUUGUCUCCUAACUUAGGAGAUACAAUUCCACUUAAUAUAGGAUCACUUGUGGGGUUUCUAACGAGUUGAGGGCAUGUACGACCCACAUACAACAAGGUGCCGUUUGGUUCACGAAAUGUAACGUAAAUGGUAAUGGUAAUGAUUCGCACUCGAAUACCGGCGGUAACAAGUUUAAAUAAGUUGAUUUCCAUUUCUAGUGUGGUAUCAACUACAGUUAGAUUUAAACAAACAUAAUAUAAUGGUAUCGAUUACCUAUUACAUUACCAAUAUGUGAACCAAACGGCAUCCAAUUGUCUAUAUGUGUAUUGAAAAACAUGUACGUACAAUAUAAAUAACAAGUCAUAUAAUGGAUUGUAUGUUUAUACUGUCUUUAAAUUUUUUAAUUCAUGUGUAGAACAAGGGCCAAAGUAGCAUACAGUGAUUGUGUUACUGUCUCUUGCAUUGGAGCACGGGCCGAAGAUAUCUCUCCACAAAAGGACGACCUAUGUCUCUCUCCUCCUUAAUUAGCGUCCACGUUGGAUUUUUUCAUUUAAUUGCUGGUUACGUGGCUGUUUAUUAGAGACGACAUAUUUAAUGUCGUUGUAAGUGCCUUAAUUGAAAAAAUAUAGUAGACAAGCCCUUCACGGAGAGUCUGUCUCUACAUGAUUCUCUUAA
Molecule: long non-coding RNA, 4330 nt
Organism: Zea mays
Lineage: Eukaryota; Viridiplantae; Streptophyta; Magnoliopsida; Poales; Poaceae
Exons: 3
Source: RefSeq, a predicted model, not a curated record